CGCUGUGGAGACCCAGCCCAAACCCAGAGAGCGGUAGCUGGGGAAAUUUUCGCCCGAAAAUGAGAGGUGCUAGUAGCCCGCGCUCUUUCCCCCGGGCCUGGGAGAACAAUGACUGUCUUGCCUCGCUUUCCGCCAGAUCAGCGCGUGGGUCUGGGAGGAGCUGCGACCCACGGCCCACGGAGCCCGGACAGCGCAACCGCUCAGGGCGCCCCAGCCAAGGACCACGUCUGGGGUGACGAGAUCUGGGACGUGAGUCACCAAAAUAGAUUCGACAGUCCUGUUUCUUUGAGAGUUCACUGUUGUAUGCAAGUAGCCACAAACCAGUAAAAGGCAAGCAAAGGAGUAUGAAAUAAUACAUGAGCCUAAAGUUACUUCAUUGGAAGAACUGAUGCUGAAGCUGAAACUCCAAUACUUUGGCCACCUCAUGUGAAGAGUUGACUCAUUGGAAAAGACCCUGAUGCUGGGAGGGAUUGGGGGCAGGAGGAGAAGGGGACGACAGAGGAUGAGAUGGCUGGAUGGCAUCACCGACUCGAUGGACGUGAGUCUGAGUAAACUCUGGGAGUUGGUGAUGGACAGGGAGGCCUGGCGAGCUGCGAUUCAUGGGGUCGCAAAGAGUCAGACACGACUGAGCGACUGAACUGAACUGAACUGAAAGUUACUUCACCUAUGGUCUGGUGGGAAAUAAGAGGGUGUUGUUUUUUUUUUCUUUUUUUUUUUUUGGUAAAAUCGUUACAAGGCUAUGAGACUGAUUUUUAUAGUCGAGAUUAGAAGUUUGUAUUAUCCUGUUUGUCAGCUAUGUGACUGCCCAACACCUCAGUUUCUUUAUUUGUAACAACAGUAACAAUGGUUCACAUAGACUUGUUCUAUUAAGUGAUAUAAUAAAUAUACCAUAGUAGUCAGAGUGCCCAGCACACAGUUGAACAGUUCUCACCUGAAGAAUAACUCCAUGAAGGGAUUUCUAGACCUCUCCUUUCUAUUAAACUCUCAAUCCAUCAAUCCAGAUCCAGCACAUCACUCAAAACUGACUCCAAAUCCAUUCUCUGAAGUCACCUUUGUUGUGUAAGUAAUUCAUUUUGUAAUUUUCUCUUUUUCCAACCAAUCAUGGAGUCCUCAAGACUGAUCUUUCAUCAUGACUCUUAAAUCUUUUUCUCCAACCCACUUCCUGUCUUCAAUCCCUGAAGCCAUGCCUUCUCCAUGUUGUAGGCAGAGUGAUCUUUCCAAAGUGUUAGCCUGAUGGAGUCACUUCCCUCUUAAAACAUUUUAAUGUCUCCCCAUUAUCCUCUGGUAGAAGACAAUCUUCUCAGUAGGACAUAGAAAGCUAUUUGUGAUCUGAAGUUGGUUUACUGCAGAAACUCAAUGCCACAUUUCUUUAAAUGUAGCAUAUUCUCAUGUUCCUAGGAUUUUGCAUGAGGCUGAAAUUUGUUCUCUUUCGCUUCUGGCUAAUUCCUAUUAUUUCCUCUGGAUUUAUUUUAGACAUUAGGUGCUCCAGGAAGCUCAAUACUCCCAGGCCCUCUAAGGGCCCCACUUCCCACAUGAGGCUUAUUUAUGUAUACCUCUUACGUAAUCUCGUAACACUUGCUUAGCCAUUGGACUGUAUUGUUACCCUCUAUUUGUUAGAAAUUUAUUUACAGGUACUGUGUCUUAUUCAUACCAGUCUUAGUUACACCCUCCAGGACCUUGUGUUCAUAUUUGUAUCCCUAGGAACAUAAUGUGCUCAGUUGCUCAGUUGUGUCUGACCAUUUGCGACCCCAUGAACUGUAGCCAGGCUCCUCUGUCCAUGGGAUUUUCCUGAAAGAAUACUGGAGUGGGUUGCCACUUCCUCCUUCAGGGAACAUAAUAGGCCUCAGUAAUCAUUUAUUGAAUGAACGAAUGAAUGAAUAAUGUUUCUGACGUCUUAUUUACUGUUCUUGUGACUCAUUAACAAUUUUUAUUGCUAUUAAGAUUUAAAAAAAAAAAACUGUCAAAUUUUGGCUCUCACACCCGCCCUCUCUGCCUUGGAAAAAUCCAAAUAGUUGCAUUGAAUC
Dama dama (fallow deer) is the source of this 2024-nucleotide long non-coding RNA. RefSeq lists it as uncharacterized. The transcript has 3 exons. The record is from RefSeq and is a predicted model, not a curated record. NCBI's taxonomy places the organism in Eukaryota, Metazoa, Chordata, Mammalia, Artiodactyla, Cervidae.